This 301-nucleotide ribosomal RNA is filed under the name uncultured bacterium. RNAcentral describes it as "partial 16S ribosomal RNA". It matches the Rfam family "Bacterial small subunit ribosomal RNA", at positions 509 to 807 of the family's 1533-position model. The record is from RNAcentral.
CAGUAGCCACGGUAAUACGGAGGGUGCAAGCGUUAUCCGGAUUUAUUGGGUUUAAAGGGUCCGUAGGCGGAUCUGUAAGUCAGUGGUGAAAUCUCACAGCUUAACUGUGAAACUGCCAUUGAUACUGCAGGUCUUGAGUAAAUUUGAAGUGGCUGGAAUAAGUAGUGUAGCGGUGAAAUGCAUAGAUAUUACUUAGAACACCAAUUGCGAAGGCAGGUCACUAAGAUUUAACUGACGCUGAUGGACGAAAGCGUGGGGAGCGAACAGGAUUAGAGACCCCGGUAGUCCCUGUCUCUUAUAC